Molecule: ribosomal RNA, 415 nt
Filed under: uncultured bacterium
Lineage: Bacteria
Description: bacterial SSU rRNA
Rfam family: Bacterial small subunit ribosomal RNA
Source: RNAcentral
GAGUAACGCGUAUGACAACCUACCUAUCAGAGGGGAAUAACCCGGACGAAAGUCGGACUAAUACCGCAUAAAACAGGGGCACCGCAUGGUGAUAUUUGUUAAAGAAAUUCGCUGAUAGAUGGGCAUGCGUUCCAUUAGGUAGUUGGUGAGGUAACGGCUCACCAAGCCGACGAUGGAUAGGGGAACUGAGAGGUUGGUCCCCCACACUGGUACUGAGACACGGACCAGACUCCUACGGGAGGCAGCAGUGAGGAAUAUUGGUCAAUGGGCGGGAGCCUGAACCAGCCAAGUCGCGUGAAAGGAAGAAGGAUCUAUGGUUCGUAAACUUCUUUUGCAGGGGAAUAAAGUGCAGGACGUGUCCUGUUUUGUAUGUACCCUGAGAAUAAGGAUCGGCUAACUCCGUGCCAGCCGCUGC